Molecule: ribosomal RNA, 406 nt
Filed under: uncultured bacterium
Lineage: Bacteria
Description: partial 16S ribosomal RNA
Rfam family: Bacterial small subunit ribosomal RNA
Source: RNAcentral
GACGAACGCUGGCGGCGUGCUUAACACAUGCAAGUCGAACGAGUGGCGAACGGGUGAGUAAUACGUGAGUAACCUGCCCUCUUUUUGGGAUAAGCCUUGGAAACGGGGUCUAAUACCGGAAUAAGGGGGAUGGGCUCGUGGCCUGUCAGCGUGUUGGUGGGUUGAUGUCAUACCAAGGCGGUGACGGGUAGCCGGCAUGAGAGGGUGACCGGACACAGUGGGACUGUGAGACGGCCUAGACUCCUACGGGAGGGAGCAGUGGGGGAUAUUGCACAAUGGGCGAAAGAGUGAUGCAGCGACGCCGAGUGGGGGAUGAAGGCUUUCGGGUUGUAAACCUCUGGCGCUAGCGAACGGGUAGGUGGAGAAGAAGCGCCGGCUAACUACGUGCCAGCAGCCGCGGUAAUUC